AAAGAUACCCAAACCACAUAAGACCUGAAGAAGGGAAUUGGGUGAUGGAUGCGUAACACCGAAUCCGCAGCCGGAAAGGCAAGCGACGGCAAACAGGAGGAGGACCUCCCGACCUCCCUCUGAGACCAACAUUUGAACUCCUUUUCGUUCUCUCUCUCUCUCUCUCUCUCUAUCUCCCUCCCUCUUCUGUGCGGUCGUGGUCUCUGUUCUCAAUGCUCCCAGAUGGUUCAACAAACGAUUGAUUCCAAGUUUAGCGACUAUGGGCUCCCAAAAACAGAAACUGGCUUGCCCAAUCAUGAUAAGCAACAUCCUCUGUCGGUGACUACAAAGAAGACAGCACUAAGAGAUUUGCAGUAUGAGAAUAGAGUUGCAGUACCCAAGUCUGUGGGAAGCUCUUUGUUCCCUAAGGAGAGUGUAUCCAAGCUUGAGGCUGUAAAAAUUUCUGGCAUGAAAAGGCCUAUACCUGAGUCCCUGGUGAACCCACCUCACCAUCAAUCUCUGACCAGUACUGCCACAAAUGGGCAUCUUGUUUAUGUUCGUAGAAGGCCUGAAGUAGAACUAGCUAAAAGCAGCAGCCUAGACAACAUGAGCAAUAAUGCAUAUCUUCCACAGGCAAGGAAACUAGCUCAGCAAGACGAGACAACUGAACAGAAAUCACAGAUAAAGGAACCUAAGCUUUGUGCUCCAGAAGUUGCACCUAUCCCAAGGACUUCUUCGGUGUGCUUCUCAUCUGUAAAACCUUCUCUUCCUUCCUCUCUUGGGAAGUCCAGCAAUAUUUUACUUCCUGCAGAUACAAAUUAUCUUUCUGUUUCUUCUACUGCCCCUCCAUUGGAUUAUCCAAAGAGAACACAUAAACUGCACUGGGAGGAAAGGUAUUGUGAACUUCAGGACUUACUGAAAAUGUUUGAUCAAUCAAACCAAGAAGAUUAUGUCCAGUUGCUUCGUUCCCUCUCCUCAGUUGACCUUAGCAAACAUGCAUUUGAACUAGAAAAGAGAUCAAUCCAUCUUUCUUUGGAGGAAGGUUCUGUUUGAGUAGUCAGCUCUUCCCGUGCCAUUCUUCAUAACUAAAAAAGGUGUGAGCAGAGUCUUGGACUGGUGCUAUGUGCUCCAGAGGCUAGUGCGAAAGAGAUGCAACGGGUUCAAGUUUUGGAUGUGUUGGGAAAAUACCCGAAGAAUUCGAGAGCACCCUCCUCGGCGGCUCACCGGGCUCAGCCAGACAAGUGAAGUGAGAGAGAAGGGGGGGGGGGGAUGAAAUUAAGGUUCGCUGUGUUAAAAAUGAAACCGUAGAUUGUGAUUUCUAUCGGUUUUCUUUCUCUGAUUAGAUUUUGUGCAUUGGUUUGGUUGGUGGCGUGUAUUUUCUGGGGAAGUAAAGGGUGUUGUGUCGCUGUGGCUGUGGCUGGUGAUGCUUUUCUUUGUAUAUGCCUGAUUUUUCAUUUAUGUGCUGAUGAAAUGUUUAACAGAGCAUCCCCUUCCCCUUCCCCUUGGGCUUGAUGAAUGUUGAUGAGAUAGAUACACUCUUUUAGAAAUGAUGUAUUGUGACCACUCACUCACUCA
This is an RNA transcript of Diospyros lotus (date-plum), 1554 nucleotides long. RefSeq lists it as uncharacterized. The transcript is spliced from 5 exons. The record is from RefSeq and is a predicted model, not a curated record. Lineage: Eukaryota; Viridiplantae; Streptophyta; Magnoliopsida; Ericales; Ebenaceae.